UUAUUAGGGUUUCAAUAUUUAUUCUCUUUCAUUUCCCAAAACUCCUAGCCGUCAUAUCACAUGAACAGUUCAUCUUCAUCACUGACAUUGCAUCUCCAUGUUCUCAUUUUGAAACCCAACAAAGUAAGCACAUGUUCUCGUUCAAUCGAACACUCAGAACAUUCCUGUUUUAAAGGUGAGUCAUCAUGUUCUCUCUUCUUCAAGUCUGGAUUCGAUCUGGGCGUCAAAGAAAACUAAAAAAACAAAGAAUCCGGCUAGACCGCCGGAUCGAACCACCGGUCCAACCACACAACAGUUGCCGACCGCCCGGUUUGUUGAGAAACGAACGAACUGCCUAUAACCGGACCGUUCCAUUCACCGAAUCCUGGUCCGACCGGUUGAACCGGCCGGCCUGAUCCGGUCGUGAAAACCUUACUAUUAACAGACCAUCUUUAGGUGAACUUGAAUGUUAGAAACUCAACGGGUGAAAAUAAAAUAUUAUAUUUCUACUUAUAUUUUUAUAUCAUACAUUAAAUGCGUAGACCAAUUGAAAACAUAUUAUAUUUGACCAAACUCAUUAAAGAAUGAAAAUACCGUGGGGGGAGCUUGAAAUGUUAGAAAAUCAAAGAGGUGAAAAUGACAUUUUAUAAAGUCCAUAGAAAUGUACGGUUGAUCAAUAUUAAAUUUCAAAGUUAAGUGGUUGUUUUAAAAAGGUAAUGUAUAAACAUUACAAAAGAAAAGCUUAGGGGUGAAAUUGUAAAAGCAAAAAAAAAAAAAAACAAGGGGUGAAAGUAUAAAAGCAAAAAAAAGGAGGGAUGUGAAACUUAAUAAGCACCGGCAUUCAUAUUUAAAAUCUAUAUAAUCUAUAAUAAGAGAUUAGCCGCUGAUGUAAGUUUACAUACGUGUCAACUAACUAGAUAUGCCACGUAGGUUUUGCUGAUGUCAUAAAUAACAACUUUAUUUAACAUUAAUAAUACAUAAAUAAAAUUUUCAAAAUUCAAAUCAUAAUUUGAAUCAUUGGCUCUCUUAAAUCCCUAAAUCCCAUUUCAAAUUUCAAACCUACAGCCCUUUCCAUUUCAAAUUUCAAACCCUGGUUUCUCUCUCUGUUUGCUUUCUCUUUCUUCUUUGUGAGACCAACAACAAGAAAUUGAAGCUUUCGGGAAUCAAUCCAAGCCUUCAGUCUUUUCUUAUCGAGCUAAGACAACACAACAAACACACUUGAGCCGUUUUCAGUUUGUUGUUCUUCUCUCAUCGUCUUACAGUCUAGGGUUUUGCUUUGUUCAUCCUCUUUGAUGAACGAAAUGUGGAUUUUGUUGCUGAUUAUUGUGUAAUAUACAUCAUGUUUGCUGAGUCAUUGUUGUUCGGAUUAGAUCUGUUUUGCACUUUAGGGUUUUUUAGAGAGAGAGAGAGAGAUGACGGGGAUGGUGAUGCUAACAAGAGGAGGAGGAGGCGGUGGUGAAAAUGCAGCUAAGGAAGAACAGAACCAUCCUUCAAAUCCCUUUUUAGAUCUGAUACAGAACCCUAAUGUAUUCUUAAGUAUUCUUUCCAUCUAGGGUUUCAAGAUCUGCAUUUAGGGUUGUGAUGAUGACGGUAGUCAUCAGUUCGGUUCCUACUACCUCCAUCAUCCGCUGAUUUCAUCUUCAUUGAUUUCAUCUUGAUUCUGCCUACCACUUUUUCAAUAUCAGGAAUCAUCAGAAACCCUCAUCUUUCUGUCUGCAACUCCCGCCGGAUUCUUCGUUUUACAGAACCUCAAAUGUCAAUCAGAUUUAGUAGGCUGCAAAUCUAGGUUGCAUAUGGGAAGAUUUGUUGGAUGACACUCGCCCCCUGAUAGUGCAGAAACAUUAACAAAUGCUGGAAGUAAAGAUCCCUUUUAUGGUGAUAAUUCGCCUUCUAUGGACACUUGAGUACCCGUAUGCUAAAAGAAGGUAUAUCAAGUCAUUUGAAACCUUAAUUUCGAAGCUAAGACAUCAAUUAAAGCUCAUCUGAGGAAACGUCAACAACCUGUUCGGGUCACAGAUGGUCAAGAAUAGAAGCUAUGGACAAAACUGACUCAAGACCAUUCUGGAAAAUAUUUUUUGUUUUUUAACAAAUAUUAAUAUUUCUCAUAAUGUUUGUGAUUUUACCAAAUCUCUGAUCGUUGGGAACAUUUACUAAUUUUCAAUCAAAAAAGUUGGGAACAUAUACUGAUCGUCUUCUUCAAGAGAUUACAGAUAUGGCCUCUACGCGUCCCAGUGGAUCUAUAUCCCACAACAAUAAACGGUCAUCAUCUUCUGAACAGAAUAUCUCACACAGAAGCGUCCAGAGGUCCGAAAAUGGUCAAAAAUGGUGGUGAAUUGUAACACCCCGAAAACGGGUUUGGAAAUCAAACCACGUUAAUAUUAAAAGACGGGUAAAGUACCGUUAGUGGUAAAAUUUACUCGGUGAAUAUUAAGAUUUCUAAACAAUUAAAUCUAAAUCUAAAGUUAAAUAAAAAGGGGUGAAGGAAUGUUUAUGAGGAAAUAAAGUUAUGAGAGGCCCGAGUUUACGGGACUUAGAAUGAAACGGGUUAUAACCCCGGAACCUACUAAGUUAACUAGGAAUAAUUAACCUAGUUAUUUAUGUGGGAUCAAGUGAAUGAAUAGAAAUCAAGAUUUUAAACCUCUUUAUAAAACUUCUAAAUAUGAGGGACUAAAAGUGGGCAAACUAGGAAAUGUUUUUAAUUAAAACAAUAAUAAAAAUCAAAACACACACACACAUGUGUGUGUGAGUUCGAUCGACCAGAAGCAAGAGCAGGGGUUCCAAAACCCUAGUUUAACAAAAUCAACAAAUUGAAGGUCAAAAUGAAGCUCGAAUUCACAACUAAACAUGAAUAAACGAUUACCAAGCCAAGGGGAUCGUAAGUUUGACGCUUGACAAGCUAGGUGGAGGUUUGGAAAGGAAGCGGGUCAAACUAAGCAAAUAAGAAGGAAAAGCGUACUUCGGAUGCGAGUUGAAGGACACUCGCAUCUGAAGAUGACGAGAGUUGAAUGAACUGUGGAUAUGACGGUGGAACGGUCCGAGGUAUGACAAGCUGAGCACACUCAUUGAGGACCUAAAUCGCGUGAUGAUCGCGAACAAAGUUCACGGCAAGAGAAGCCCGUUAGGGCAAGCAUUACCAGGUGGAGGUUUGGAAAGGAAGCGGGUCAAACGAAGCAAAUAAGAAGGAAAAGCAUACUUCGGAUGCGAGGUAAGUAAAACUUACACCCACUUGUAGUAUAUGUGUUUAUUUUAUAAGGAAUGAAUACAAUAAAGGAUUAGGUUCGAAUCAUGGGUUCCGACAUGCAACGAAAUGAGUCGGAACCAAUAAAAAUGUUUUAAACCAUGAUUAAUGGUGAAAGAGGCAAAAUGGUAAAUUAGUCACGAAUUGGUUAAGAGUUAGUGAGUUUUUCUUAAAGUUACCUUAUAGCGUAACUAGUAAUGGAAAAAUGAGUAAAAAUGGAAAUUUAGUCAAGUAUCGACUAAAGUAAAAUAAGUCUCAAAGGACACCCAUAGCGUAAGCCGAAUGGGUUAAAAUAUAAGAAAUUUGACAAAAAAAAAAGGGAUCUAGUGAGAAAAUCCGAAAUGGGUCAGAUGUGUGAUUGGUAAUUAAAACCCAUGUUUUGUUACAUAUGAAAAUGUUGGGUUAUGUAGGUCGAACGGGCCAAAUGGUGGGAAUAACGCCAUUUGACAACAUCAACUAAUAUGGUUGUCAAGUCAUGUGUUUACAGGGGGGGAAUAGUAGUUUGGGUAAUUGCGUUGCCAUAAGAAUAUCGGUAAUAAAAGCAAGGUGUCGAAACGGGUCACUAGGUUGACUCGAGCCAGGUACGUAUAAAUAAGAUUGUGGUUAAACAAACAUUUUUGGGUCAAAUUAGUAGCAAAUGCCCUUCAUCGUAAAUGAGGGGCUAAAGUUGAUUAAAAUGCCCUUGAUGGGUAAAUCGGGCAAACGACCUUUAAAGGUCGUUGGAAAUAAGUGUUUUGAUAGAUUAAAUCCUUAAGAUAAGUAUAAAAGGGAUGAUACGGAACCUUAGUGCAUAAAUACCCUUAACGGGUCAAAAUAGAAGUAAUAGCGAAACGGGUUGAAAAUGUGUAAUAACUCGUGAAUUGAACCUUGUACAAUAGGAAAUAAUCAUAAUAAUAUGUUUAUAAAAGAAACAAGGGCCACAAACAAGUUUGAUAGAUGAAACCGCGAACAGGUCAAAAAAUGUCGUAUUUGAACUUCAAGCCAAGAGCUUGAAGUCUAAAAUUUUGUGAAAUUAGAUGUUGAAUUUUAACUCCAUAUGAUGGAGAAUUAAAUUACGGACGCGUGGGAAAAAGAAUCGGGUAAAACGGAUCAAUAACGAAGAAGUUAUGGCCGUUUCCGUGAAAUCGGGUUGAGCUGGGUAUGUACAGCAACUGAUUAAGCAUCAGUCUGUGAAAAAGGGGGCCUAGCGUCACGCGACGCCCCUGUUCCGGAAAUAAAUUUGUUUUGUUGUUGUUUGACCCAUGUAACUUGUUCAUACUUAUUAUUUAACUAUCAAAACUAACUUUUAAGUUGGUUUUGAUCAUAGGUGAUUGCCAAGAGUGCCCGGAUGAAGAUCAAGCUCGAUGAGGAACCGAACACGAUAACAUACAAGCUUCCGCGCGACGUUUCGUCGUAUCUUUUAAACGACGAAUUCAAUUACAUUAAGUUGUAUAGUUUUGAAAUGUUGUAACAUGUUGGAAUGUUAGUAUGAAAAGUUUUUGUAAAGUCACAUUUUAGCAUUAAAAUGUGUAUAUAUUUAAUAAAAUCUUGAUUA
RNAcentral lists this long non-coding RNA (4751 nucleotides) under Helianthus annuus (common sunflower). RNAcentral describes it as "hypothetical non coding rna". Lineage: Eukaryota; Viridiplantae; Streptophyta; Magnoliopsida; Asterales; Asteraceae. The record is from RNAcentral.